GUGGCGGAAUUGGUAGACGCAAGGGACUUAAAAUCACUCGGGGCUUGUACCUGUACGAGUUGGAUUCUCGUCCUAGGCACCA
This 82-nucleotide transfer RNA is filed under the name Deltaproteobacteria bacterium. RNAcentral's name for it is "tRNA-Leu". It matches the Rfam family "tRNA". Rfam says of the family: Transfer RNA (tRNA) molecules are approximately 80 nucleotides in length. Lineage: Bacteria; Pseudomonadati; Myxococcota; Myxococcia. The record is from RNAcentral.